GUUAACGCCAGAAUCUUUCUCCACGUCCCAAUCACGUAAGACGUCUUGAUCCUGCACAAUAAACACAGUCAACACCAAAAGCUUGACGGCUAGGACCGUCGGGGGAUAGCUCCGGCGUGAGAGUCAGUACAGGCGAUCACAAGGUUAACAAUGGAGGAAUAAAUAUCUAGUGACUUGAGAGCAAUAAUUUAUGAGUUACCUUUCACCGUGUGUCAUCCUUGCUUUAUAUCCCCAAAGUCCGGUUUGUCCUGUAUGCAACUGACUUUUCGGGCCCACAACUUUCAGCCGACUAAGCCCUGUCCAAUCCUCAUUAAAUGCAAUGCAGAGAUGACAGUCAAAGUUCUAUCCCCAAUCUACACCGGUCAAAGCCCAAGUGGAACCAUACUCAUCUAGUAAUUCGGC
Molecule: long non-coding RNA, 402 nt
Filed under: Panax ginseng (ginseng)
Lineage: Eukaryota; Viridiplantae; Streptophyta; Magnoliopsida; Apiales; Araliaceae
Description: long non-coding RNA (PGIN_LNC006537)
Source: RNAcentral